UCGUCAGUGAGGUAUAUCCUUACCUGUUACUCCGUAAGGAGUCGCAGAACGUGAUGAAUGGAGUGUAUGAGCUGGUGAUUAACUGGUGCUCCCACCUCUGAGGGACUAACAACUCCUCAGAGGCCAUUCUGAU
Small nucleolar RNA from Stegostoma tigrinum, 133 nucleotides. RefSeq annotates it as U8 small nucleolar RNA. Lineage: Eukaryota; Metazoa; Chordata; Chondrichthyes; Orectolobiformes; Stegostomatidae. The record is from RefSeq and is a predicted model, not a curated record. The transcript has a single exon.